Molecule: ribosomal RNA, 371 nt
Filed under: uncultured bacterium
Lineage: Bacteria
Description: bacterial SSU rRNA
Rfam family: Bacterial small subunit ribosomal RNA
Source: RNAcentral
AGAGGCCCCAAGCGUUACUGAGAAUCACUGGGUUUAAAGGGUGCGUAGGUGGCGCGUUAAGUCCGUUGUGAAAUCCCUGGGCUCAACCCAGGAAAUGCUUCGGAUACUGGCGUGCUUGAGGCUAGUAGAGGUCACUGGAACUGACGGUGGAGCGGUGAAAUGCGUAGAUAUCGUCAGGAACGCCGGUGGUGAAGACGGGUGACUGGGCUAGUUCUGACACUGAGGCACGAAAGCGUGGGGAGCGAACGGGAUUAGAUACCCCGGUAGUCCACGCCCUAAACGAUGCAGACUAGACUGCAGCGGGUUACACCCCGUUGCGGUCGGAGCGAAAUUGUUAAGUCUGCCACCUGGGAAGUACGGUCGCAAGGCUA